GCCAGAUGCAGUGGUGCAUGCCUGUAGUCCCAGCUACUUGGGAGGCUGAGACAGAAGGAUCGCUUGAGUCUAGGAGUUCUGGGCUGUAGUGCGCUAUGCCAAUCAGGUGUCCACACUAAGUUUGGUAUCAAUAUGGUGACCUCCUGGGAGCAGGGGGGCCACUGGGUUGCCUAAGGAGGGUGAACUGUCCCAGGUCAGAAACGGAGCAAGUCAUAACUCCCAUGCUGAUCAGUAGUGGGAUCAAGCCUAUGAAUAGCCACUACACUCCAGCCUGGGCAACAUAGCAAGACCCCAUCUCUU
This is a non-coding RNA of Otolemur garnettii (small-eared galago), 300 nucleotides long. The record is from Rfam. NCBI's taxonomy places the organism in Eukaryota, Metazoa, Chordata, Mammalia, Primates, Galagidae.